RNAcentral lists this ribosomal RNA (633 nucleotides) under Curtobacterium sp. Ri2Ps_4930. RNAcentral describes it as "bacterial SSU rRNA". It matches the Rfam family "Bacterial small subunit ribosomal RNA", at positions 382 to 1011 of the family's 1533-position model. Lineage: Bacteria; Bacillati; Actinomycetota; Actinomycetes; Micrococcales; Microbacteriaceae. The record is from RNAcentral.
CCUGAUGCAGCAACGCCGCGUGAGGGAUGACGGCCUUCGGGUUGUAAACCUCUUUUAGUAGGGAAGAAGCGACUGAGUUUACUCUGAGUGACGGUACCUGCAGAAAAAGCACCGGCUAACUACGUGCCAGCAGCCGCGGUAAUACGUAGGGUGCAAGCGUUGUCCGGAAUUAUUGGGCGUAAAGAGCUCGUAGGCGGUUUGUCGCGUCUGCUGUGAAAUCCCGAGGCUCAACCUCGGGCUUGCAGUGGGUACGGGCAGACUAGAGUGCGGUAGGGGAGAUUGGAAUUCCUGGUGUAGCGGUGGAAUGCGCAGAUAUCAGGAGGAACACCGAUGGCGAAGGCAGAUCUCUGGGCCGUAACUGACGCUGAGGAGCGAAAGCAUGGGGAGCGAACAGGAUUAGAUACCCUGGUAGUCCAUGCCGUAAACGUUGGGCGCUAGAUGUAGGGACCUUUCCACGGUUUCUGUGUCGUAGCUAACGCAUUAAGCGCCCCGCCUGGGGAGUACGGCCGCAAGGCUAAAACUCAAAGGAAUUGACGGGGGCCCGCACAAGCGGCGGAGCAUGCGGAUUAAUUCGAUGCAACGCGAAGAACCUUACCAAGGCUUGACAUACACCGGAAACGGCCAGAGAUGGUC